CCUACGGGGGGCUGCAGUGGGGAAUAUUGCACAAUGGGCGCAAGCCUGAUGCAGCCAUGCCGCGUGUGUGAAGAAGGCCUUCGGGUUGUAAAGCACUUUCAGCGGGGAGGAAGGCGGUGAGGUUAAUAACCUCAUCGAUUGACGUUACCCGCAGAAGAAGCACCGGCUAACUCCGUGCCAGCAGCCGCGGUAAUACGGAGGGUGCAAGCGUUAAUCGGAAUUACUGGGCGUAAAGCGCACGCAGGCGAUCUGUCAAGUCGGAUGUGAAAUCCCCGGGCUCAACCUGGGAACUGCAUUCGAAACUGGCAGGCUAGAGUCUUGUAGAGGGGGGUAGAAUUCCAGGUGUAGCGGUGAAAUGCGUAGAGAUCUGGAGGAAUACCGGUGGCGAAGGCGGCCCCCUGGACAAAGACUGACGCUCAGGUGCGAAAGCGUGGGGAGCAAACAGGAUUAGAUACCCGAGUAGUC
RNAcentral lists this ribosomal RNA (465 nucleotides) under uncultured Klebsiella sp. RNAcentral describes it as "bacterial SSU rRNA". It matches the Rfam family "Bacterial small subunit ribosomal RNA", at positions 338 to 795 of the family's 1533-position model. Lineage: Bacteria; Pseudomonadati; Pseudomonadota; Gammaproteobacteria; Enterobacterales; Enterobacteriaceae. The record is from RNAcentral.